GACGAACGCUGGCGGCGUGCUUAACACAUGCAAGUCGAACGGCCCGGCCCUGCUUUUGUGGGCUGCUCGGGAGGCGAUCGGGAGAGACCCACGUGUGUAACCUGCCCUUGACUUAGGGGUAUCUUCAGGGAACUUGGGCUAUUACCGGAUAGGAGAUCCUGCUACAUGGGGGGGGUGGGAGAGUUUCGGCGGUUGGGGAUGGACUCGCGGCUUAUCAGCUUGUUGGUGGGGUAGUGGCUGACGAAGGCUUUGCCGGGUAGCCGGCCUUCGGGGGUGACCGGGCACAUUGGGACUGGGACAGGGACCAGACCCCUACGCGAGGCAGCGGUGGCGAAGAUGGCACAAGGGGCGGAAGCCUGAUGCAGCACCGGCGCGGGCGGGAUGACGGCCUACGGGUUGGAAACCGCUUGCGCCUGUGACGAAGCGGGUGUGACGGUAAUGGGUAAAGGAGCACCGGCCAACUACGUU
Molecule: ribosomal RNA, 468 nt
Filed under: uncultured bacterium
Lineage: Bacteria
Description: partial 16S ribosomal RNA
Rfam family: Bacterial small subunit ribosomal RNA
Source: RNAcentral